AACGAACGCUGGCGGCAUGCCUAACACAUGCAAGUCGAACGAGACCUUCGGGUCUAGUGGCGCACGGGUGCGUAACGCGUGGGAAUCUACCCUUGGGUUCGGAAUAACAGUUAGAAAUGACUGCUAAUACCGGAUGAUGACGAAAGUCCAAAGAUUUAUCGCCCAAGGAUGAGCCCGCGUAAGAUUAGCUUGUUGGUGGGGUAAUGGCCUACCAAGGCGACGAUCUUUAGCUGGUCUGAGAGGAUGAUCAGCCACACUGGGACUGAGACACGGCCCAGACUCCUACGGGAGGCAGCAGUGGGGAAUAUUGGACAAUGGGCGAAAGCCUGAUCCAGCAAUGCCGCGUGAGUGAUGAAGGCCUUAGGUUGUAAAGCUCUUUUACCAGGGAUGAUAAUGACAGUACCUGGAGAAUAAGCUCCGGCUAACUCCGUG
Molecule: ribosomal RNA, 432 nt
Filed under: uncultured bacterium
Lineage: Bacteria
Description: bacterial SSU rRNA
Rfam family: Bacterial small subunit ribosomal RNA
Source: RNAcentral